Molecule: long non-coding RNA, 172 nt
Organism: Lagopus leucura (white-tailed ptarmigan)
Lineage: Eukaryota; Metazoa; Chordata; Aves; Galliformes; Phasianidae
Exons: 3
Source: RefSeq, a predicted model, not a curated record
AUCCAUUCCUCGUUCUCCUGUUGGCUCAUACCAAGGCCUCAACGCACGCCCGGAUCUCAGGGCUCGCCUCCUCCAGGCUCUGGCAGAAGUCCUGCGCACAGUUGUUCUCCAGGCCACGUCCUGCAUGACCCAGCAUCACUCAGUGCAUUGGAGAAUGGAGACAGUUACCUGG